This 377-nucleotide long non-coding RNA is filed under the name Phoenix dactylifera (date palm). RNAcentral's name for it is "long non-coding RNA (PDAC_LNC006978)". Lineage: Eukaryota; Viridiplantae; Streptophyta; Magnoliopsida; Arecales; Arecaceae. The record is from RNAcentral.
CCAAAGGAUAUAUUCAUCACCCCAGUUCUACAAUUUAUACUCGCAUUAGCUGUAGCUAAAAAGGGGCGUCCAAGGAUCACGGGGAUUUGUUUCUUAGGAUUAGGCUCAUGUUCCAUAUCAAGGACGAUAAAAUCUACUGGAAAAUAGAAUUUGUCUACCUUGACAAGAACAUCUUCAAUUAUCCCACGUGGUGUUUUUACAGAUCGAUCAGCCAAUUGAAGGGAUAUCGAGGUUGGUUUUAACUCACCUAACCCAAGUUUCUCAUAAACUGAGUAAGGUAAAAGGUUGACACUUGCCCCUAGAUCUAAAAGUGCUCGAUCAAUGAAAUUAUUUCCUAAGACACAGGAGAUGGUGGGAGCACCAGGAUCUUUGAAUUU